AUGAUGAACCUUUUCGAUGCCUUUCACAGCAAUUCUUUAGAUGUGGCUCGGCUGAAUUAUGGGGUGAUUACCCUUAUUCCUAAGAUAAAUGGAGCUAAAAAAAUUCAACAAUAUAGACCUAUUUGCUUGCUACGAUGUCCUUACAAGCUCAUUACUAAAGUGUUGGACAAUAGAGCCUCCUUGUUUGCAGAUAUUUUGAUCAGCAAACACCAAAAUGCAUUCAUAAAGCACAGGAACAUUAUGGAUGGCAUUUUAACCCUUCAUGAAAUUCUUCAUCACACACAAAGAAAAAAGAAGAUUGGUGUGGUGUUGAAACUCGAUUUCAAAAAAUCAUAUGAUAAGAUCAAUUGGGAUUUCCUCAUUGAGUGUCACAGCAACAGGGGCUUUGGCCCCGUGUGGUGUGGGUGGAUCCAGAAGAUCCUUAGGAAUGGGACCAUUAGUAUCAAAUUGAAUAAUGAGAAAGGCUCUUACUUUCAAAGCUGCAAGGGGGUGCGACAAGGGGACCCGCACUCGCCUUUUUUGUUCAAUAUGGCUGUGGAAGCCUUGUCCAAAAUGAUCCUGAAUGCUCAAAAAGAUAAAAUGAUAACAGGUCUAGCUCCAGACCUGGUCGAUGGGGGGGGGUAG
Molecule: ribosomal RNA, 624 nt
Filed under: Triticum aestivum (bread wheat)
Lineage: Eukaryota; Viridiplantae; Streptophyta; Magnoliopsida; Poales; Poaceae
Description: partial small subunit ribosomal RNA
Source: RNAcentral